Molecule: long non-coding RNA, 387 nt
Filed under: Callithrix jacchus (white-tufted-ear marmoset)
Lineage: Eukaryota; Metazoa; Chordata; Mammalia; Primates; Cebidae
Description: lncRNA (ENSCJAG00000081718.1)
Source: RNAcentral
GAGUAUUUUCAAGGAGGCCACUGAUUUGACCCUAGUCACCUUGACAGCCUUCGAGUACUCUUAAAUUUUAGCGAAAAUGGGCAUUCGUUAUUUCCUGAGCACAUCAAAAAUCUCCCACCUUUAAAAUGAGAAAACAGAUUCAGAGAAGUUAAGUAACAAGCUCAAGAUCACAGCAUUAAAAUCAUACCAAAGAGCAUAGCAAAGAGCAAAGCAAAGGCAUUGCUAUAUCUGAUGAAACUGGUCUGCCAAUAUGUGUUUCUCAUCGUUUCCUAACUGAAGCUCCAGAUUUAAUGAAACUGGAAAGAGAUUUUGUGGAGAUGCUGGAUACUUGCUGAGGAGCUUACUAAGGUUAUGCUUUCUCUGUUUAGUAUCUUAAAUAGACUUUUG